UAUUAAUAAUUUUUUUUUAUUCUUAUUUCUAUUAAAUAAAAUAAGUAUUUUUACAAUUUCUUUGAAUUACAAAAUAUACAUAAAAGUGAACAGAGAGUGCAAAGGAGAAACAUCUAAAUACUUCACCAGGGAAAAGAAAGACAAAACAUUUAUGGCUACUCAAUCCACACAAAUAUUUACUUCACCAGAAACUUGAUAGUUACCCAAUAUUUAAUAUUUAUGCUAUAAAAACCCUUUUUUUUUCCUCUUUGAGAAAGCAAAUUUUCAUAUUUGUACUACUCACCCAAAAAAGAUACAUCUAAUUUCUCACGCGUUGUACAUAAUAAUACAAUUACUUAAUACUUAUUUGGAAUAGAAAGAAACCCAGAAAGACGUGGAGAGAGUGAUGAAUAAUCUCUCUAACAUGCGCAUGCGCUAUCAAUAAAAACCUUAACAUCAUCAGAAGAAGAUUUAGCCUUGGAAGGAUCAAAUAGCUCCACAGCAUGGAAACCAUCCUCAAAAAAAGCCGAUUCCACUUUCACCCCUUUGGAUUCCAGCUUCCUUACAAACUCUUUCUGCUUGUCAAUCAGUGGGUCCCCUCCAUACCCUCUAACGUAACUCAUCGGAAGCCGUCCGAUCUUCUCAUCGUUUGACCCUUCGACCAUCGGAUUGCAGUACUCGUGAUCACGAUCAGUGUCUUUAGGUAAUGCAAGGGACCACAUGAGAUCAUUGGCUGGCAACGGCAAGAUCUUAUCGUUCAUCAGCCUCAUCUCUGAUUCUGUCCUCAGGACCCCACUAAAAUAGGGCACGUUCAUUAUUAAGCCUCUGAUUUUAAUAGGCGAAAGAUCCAAAUCUACUGCACGUAACCCUGCAUGGUAAACUAUAUUGCCGCCAGCGCUACUGCCCAUCAAGAAACACUUUGAGAAAUCUCCAUGUUCUUUCAACCAAGGAUCACAGCCUUGGGUUCCUAGUGCUUGAUCCCGGACCCACAUGAUAGAAUCAAUAGCGUCAUCGUAGGCGGCCGGAAGGCGGUGUUCAGGAGAGAGGCGAUAAUGGACGGACAAGAUCAAAGCUUGGAAAUGGGACGCCAUGUGAUUGCAAGAUUGGUGGAAAAUGAUAGAGGCAGGAGUGUAGAGGAUAAAGCCACCUCCAUGGUAGUAAAUGAUUAGAGGGAGCUUGGCGUCCGGUGGGGGGUGGAGAGGGCGAAAGAUACGAAUGUAGGUGUGGUUGGUGGGGUUGAGUGGGAUAUCCUUGGAGAGAGCGAGUUGGGGUGAGCUGGAAUCAGUGAGUGGUUUGUCCACUGGAGGUACUUCAGGGAAAUACUGAGGGUUUCUGAAGAGAGAACCAUCUGGGUUUCUGGAAAUUCUGAGGAACGAGUAAGGAUCCAUUAUAGUGUUUGUUGUUGCCUGG
This 1389-nucleotide unclassified non-coding RNA is filed under the name Hevea brasiliensis (rubber tree). Lineage: Eukaryota; Viridiplantae; Streptophyta; Magnoliopsida; Malpighiales; Euphorbiaceae. The record is from RNAcentral.